AUGGUUGUAAAGCACUUUAAGCGAGGAGGAGGCUACUUUAGUUAAUACCUARAGAUAGUGGACGUUACUCGCAGAAUAAGCACCGGCUAACUCUGUGCCASCAGCCGCGGUAAUACAGAGGGUGCKAGCGUUAAUCRGAUUUACUGGGCGUAAAGCGUGCSUAGGCGGCUUAUUAARUCSKAUGUGA
Molecule: ribosomal RNA, 187 nt
Filed under: Acinetobacter baumannii
Lineage: Bacteria; Pseudomonadati; Pseudomonadota; Gammaproteobacteria; Moraxellales; Moraxellaceae
Description: partial 16S ribosomal RNA
Rfam family: Bacterial small subunit ribosomal RNA
Source: RNAcentral